Aegilops tauschii subsp. strangulata is the source of this 1176-nucleotide long non-coding RNA. RefSeq lists it as uncharacterized. The record is from RefSeq and is a predicted model, not a curated record. Lineage: Eukaryota; Viridiplantae; Streptophyta; Magnoliopsida; Poales; Poaceae.
CUCCCAUCCCUGCCCUUCCUCUCCUCCGCCGUUCCCCAUCCGCCGCCAUCGCCGCCACCGCCGCCGUGCCAGCCCCGCACCACCGUCUUUCGCGUUGGCUUCUCCUUUCCCCAAGCCGCUGCUAUCCUGCUCAUCACGUUGACUGCCGACGAUGGGAGGAGACCCGGGGGAGCAGAGGAGGGAGGUGGACGACGGGGUGAGGAGGCACGAGGGUGAGCAGGAGGUGGGGGUCAGAGGAUGCAGCGGCGCUGGCUUCUCUCCCCGCGCCACCAUGCCGUUUGUUCUUCCUCCCUAAGGUUCAGAUCUGAAGCGGGAGAGACACACGCGCAAAGUGGCAGAAGAGGGAACAGGGUGAGGGUUGUGAUGGGAACGCCAGGACGACGGCGAGAAGUGGAUCUCUGAGCUGGCUGCCGGUCCUCUCAGGCCACCGAAGUGGUCUCAGGUGAAGACUUGUGGUAUAUUAGCUGCACGAAAUGUUGGAAGAACUUAAGAAAAUAAAAUGAUUUAUAUAGAUGCCCCAUGUGUUCCACUCCUAAGCCGCUUCCUAGGUACAAGAUUUCACUCCAUGCCAUAGCCGUGCAACAUGAUGGUGUAACAUACCAAAGUUAUUGGGCCUUGUGAACUGUGCAGGUUCGGGAGACAAGGAAGGAACCAGAUGCUCCCAAAGUUCUUCUGGUUGAGUCGAUUACUUACUAGCAAUGAUAUUCACAAUGGGAAGCCUUUAUAGCAGGCUACUUUGAUUGAUUCCCAAACUAUGGCUUAGUUACAAAUAUUUUGGUGGUGAUGUUUCAUACACCAGUCCAGUGUUGCUACCCAAUGAUGAGUUGUAUGAAGCACUUUGAAAUGCUUUGAAGAAAGUCUUUUAGGUGGUGGUUCUACUGAUGCUACUUCUGUGACAGCCAAGGCGUAGGUUGCAGCUCGCAGAGCUUUAAGGAGGAAAGGAAGACAUGAUUUCUUCUUGAAGAGGCCUUCAAGUGCAUGUGGAAGUGUAGCAUGCAAGCAUUAUGCGACAAUGACACACUGCUUAUCGUACGCUCACACCCUCUAAAGACCACAAUCAGACUAAGAAGAUGCUUAAAUAAGCUGUAAACCAAUAUAAGUCAUUCUACUAUAUCUGUACUAUUAUCUGUAAUACAAUCCACAUUGCAUUAUAUUUCCAGCUACAUCUCCUACUAA